Pelobates cultripes (western spadefoot toad) is the source of this 517-nucleotide non-coding RNA. The record is from the annotation of a GenBank genome assembly. NCBI's taxonomy places the organism in Eukaryota, Metazoa, Chordata, Amphibia, Anura, Pelobatidae.
GGCCCUAUACACGAACCUACAAGCACAAACCAUAAUUACAGUAGCACCAAAAUCCCCAUUCCAAGUGAGCAAUGGAACGAGACAGGGCUGCCCCCUGUCCCCACUCCUAUUUGCGAUAGUUCUUGAGCCACUUCUACACCUCAUCCGAGCUAACCCAAACAUAAAAGGAGUGCACUUAGGAGAUGAACAAUUCAAAGUAGCUGCAAAUGCAGAUGACAUACUCCUAACGCUCACAGACCCGACCCGAUCAAUGGCAAACCUAGAAAAGCUACUGCAGACAUAUGGAGACGUAUCAGGAUACAAAGUCAACCUCACUAAAUCGACGGCACUGACGUUCCAUAUACCUGACCGGGAGGCACAACACAUCAGACACACCUACCAUAUCAAAACCAACACAGACACACUCACGUAUCUAGGCGUCAGACUCACAGCAGAUCACAGCACACUAUUUAAACAUACUUACACUCCGCUGAUCACGAAACUCAAGACGGACUUAGAAACCUGGACAGACAAACCC